RNAcentral lists this transfer RNA (72 nucleotides) under Perca fluviatilis (European perch). It matches the Rfam family "tRNA". Rfam says of the family: Transfer RNA (tRNA) molecules are approximately 80 nucleotides in length. Their secondary structure includes four short double-helical elements and three loops (D, anti-codon, and T loops). Further hydrogen bonds mediate the characteristic L-shaped molecular structure. tRNAs have two regions of fundamental functional importance: the anti-codon, which is responsible for specific mRNA codon recognition, and the 3' end, to which the tRNAs corresponding amino acid is attached (by aminoacyl-tRNA synthetases). tRNAs cope with the degeneracy of the genetic code in two manners: having more than one tRNA (with a specific anti-codon) for a particular amino acid; and 'wobble' base-pairing, i.e. permitting non-standard base-pairing at the 3rd anti-codon position. Lineage: Eukaryota; Metazoa; Chordata; Actinopteri; Perciformes; Percidae. The record is from Rfam by way of RNAcentral.
UACCAUAUGGUCUAGCAGGCAGGAUUCCUGGUCUUCACCCAGGCGGCCUGGGUUCAACGCCAGGUAUGGGAA